Peromyscus californicus insignis is the source of this 472-nucleotide long non-coding RNA. RefSeq lists it as uncharacterized. The transcript has 3 exons. The record is from RefSeq and is a predicted model, not a curated record. NCBI's taxonomy places the organism in Eukaryota, Metazoa, Chordata, Mammalia, Rodentia, Cricetidae.
UGGCAUGAUUCGACUUUUGUUUGGGAGGAGGGAUAGACGCUGUUUGUGUCAUCAGCAGCAACAACAACAACAAAAAAAUCACUCUUUUGUGGGAAUCUAGAAAGGAGAAGUGUGAAAGGAAUGAAGACAGAGAUGAGCAUAUGGCUGGUAUGGCUUGAAUCUUAAACAUCUCCACACAGGCUCCUGUGUUUGAACACCUGGUUCUAAGAUAGUGGUACUGUUUUAUGAUGCUGUGGAAUCUUCAGUUGUACUUGGCUGCUUGAGAGGGGACACCGGGGACAGAUUUUUGAAUGUCAUUGUGCAGCCUUGUUUCUGGACUGUCUGUAUGCUUCCUGGUCCGUUGGACAUGUGAGGAACUCUGUGAUGUGCUCCUGUCUCCAAGGUCAGAGGUGCUUCAGUCAUUGGUGCUCCCAUGAUGAGAAACUGAAAUCCUUCUAGACCUGUGAGACAAAAUAAACCUCUCCUCCCUUGA